This 145-nucleotide transfer RNA is filed under the name Desulfovibrio sp. RNAcentral describes it as "tRNA-Leu". The record is from RNAcentral. Lineage: Bacteria; Pseudomonadati; Thermodesulfobacteriota; Desulfovibrionia; Desulfovibrionales; Desulfovibrionaceae.
GCGGAGUUUGAAGAGCGGGUGGGGGACUGUACCUACUGAACAGGUACAGUAUUACUUAUAACAUCAUAAGAUUAUUUUUCUUUUUUAUGGACUCAAAAUCCGCCGGGGGCAACCCCUUGGGAGUUCGAGUCUCCCUUCCGCACCA